AUGUUCGGAGUUUCUUACACAUGCAUGUCGAACGGAAAGGCCCUUCGGGGUGCUCGAGUGGCGAACGGGUGAGUAACACGUGGGUGAUCUGCCCUGCACUUUGGGAUAAGCCUGGGAAACUGGGUCUAAUACCGGAUAGGACUACGGCCUGCAUGGGUUGUGGUGGAAAGCUUUUGCGGUGUGGGAUGGGCCCGCGGCCUAUCAGCUUGUUGGUGGGGUGAUGGCCUACCAAGGCGACGACGGGUAGCCGGCCUGAGAGGGUGUCCGGCCACACUGGGACUGAGAUACGGCCCAGACUCCUACGGGAGGCAGCAGUGGGGAAUAUUGCACAAUGGGCGCAAGCCUGAUGCAGCGACGCCGCGUGAGGGAUGACGGCCUUCGGGUUGUAAACCUCUUUCAGUAGGGACGAAGCGCAAGUGACGGUACCUACAGAAGAAGCACCGGCCAACUACGUGCCAGCAGCCGCGGUAAUACGUAGGGUGCGAGCGUUGUCCGGAAUUACUGGGCGUAAAGAGCUCGUAGGUGGUUUGUCGCGUUGUCCGUGAAAACUCACAGCUUAACUGUGGGCGUGCGGGCGAUACGGGCAGACUGGAGUACUGCAGGGGAGACUGGAAUUCCUGGUGUAGCGGUGGAAUGCGCAGAUAUCAGGAGGAACACCGGUGGCGAAGGCGGGUCUCUGGGCAGUAACUGACGCUGAGGAGCGAAAAGCGUGGGGAGCGAACAGGAUUAGAUACCCCUGGUAGUCCACGCCGUAAACCGGUGGGUA
This 766-nucleotide ribosomal RNA is filed under the name Mycolicibacterium sp. RNAcentral's name for it is "bacterial SSU rRNA". It matches the Rfam family "Bacterial small subunit ribosomal RNA", at positions 33 to 815 of the family's 1533-position model. The record is from RNAcentral. Lineage: Bacteria; Bacillati; Actinomycetota; Actinomycetes; Mycobacteriales; Mycobacteriaceae.